AGCGCUCUGGGUGGGGCGGUUGUUGGGGCGCCCCUGAAACGGUCCGAUCCCACUUCCCAGCGGAGACCCCCUGCCAGGACCCCGCCCUCUGCUCUUGCCCACCAGACCCUGAGGGCCUAGGACGAGGGCAGCCCCUUAAGCCUGAAAUCCUCUGCUGGACCAGCCUUUGCUCCUGCCCUGGGUACUCUGGCACAAGGUCGCUGCCCCUUCUGUGUGCCCAGGACUCCUCCAAGAACCGGGAGAAUCCGUAGUCUCUACCCCAAGGACUUGAGGCCAGCCAACCUGCAAUGAUUCACAGUUAAUUUAAUGCUACAUGAGUUCUGAUCAGCUCCUCCCAAAGGGGAGGCUCGACCAGGUUCCAGGAGAAGCUGCCGUCAGGGGCCAGGGUGCACUGCAGGUCGAUGCCCGAGUCUGGCACUUCCAUGUCAUAGCAUACAGGCUGCCCAUCCUUGGUCACCAGGCUGAAGGCUGCGGCUGGGAUCUGGGGACAGAGCCAACCAGUGGACUGAGACAGCGGCGUGGGGCUCAGAAGCUGCCUCAGGGUUUGCCAUCUCUACUUUUUCAAAAUCUUCCCCGUGGAAGGCUGGGCCACUGGCUUCUGGGACUCAGCCUGAGAGAACAUUCAGCUUCUGACUCCAGGCCAGGAGAGACCGGGCCUCUGGGACCUCAUCAGCAGCCCCGAGGUCUUCAUUGCCGCACCAGGAAGGGCUCCUGGGUGGCCUGAGCCUUUGCUCUACGCUGACUUACAUUCUGGGCACCAGGGGCCUUUUGUCCCUCCCCUGUGCCAGGGGAAGGGGGCCAUAAACCUCUCAGACUCCCUAGUUCUAGGUGGACUGGGUGCUGUGGGGGCUCUGAGCAGGCGAGUGCUGGACUUUACCAUUGAAGUAGCUUGGGGUGUCGGUGGGCCGCCCCCGGGCCAGCACCAUGUUCCAGCUGGAGCUUCGAGCCUCCGCCUGGCUGUUCCAGGAGUGCACACCGGAACUUAGGGUGUCCCUUGAGCUCUGAGAGGCCUUUGAGGGAUUCUGAAACACAGGGUGGCAGACUCAGGCCCCUGGGCUCAGGGUAUCGUCUCAGGCCUGGGCCUCAUUUGGGACAGAGAGGCCGGGGGCGCUCCCCUGGGCCUAGGCUGGAGCACGGUGCCACUGGGCUCAUGAGGGAUAAGUUCAUGAGGGGUCCCUGGGCUGGAGGAGGGUGAAGGGUAAUUCUAGGGGACCAAAGCCCAAACCUCCUUCUCCCCCACUAUCCCUAAAAGCCAAACCAUUCCCGAAUCCCAAGCCUGCUGAAGAUGGAUUUCUCACACUGCACGGGUGAGGACCCCUCCGGGGGAAAGGAGUGGCCACACCACCCUCUCUUCACCCAGGACUUGAACACAGCCCAUCCCCCUGCUGGCCUGGACGGAGCCCCCUGCUCUGAGUCCUGGAGCCAGG
Molecule: long non-coding RNA, 1427 nt
Organism: Talpa occidentalis (Iberian mole)
Lineage: Eukaryota; Metazoa; Chordata; Mammalia; Eulipotyphla; Talpidae
Exons: 5
Source: RefSeq, a predicted model, not a curated record